This 507-nucleotide ribosomal RNA is filed under the name uncultured bacterium. RNAcentral describes it as "bacterial SSU rRNA". It matches the Rfam family "Bacterial small subunit ribosomal RNA", at positions 29 to 526 of the family's 1533-position model. The record is from RNAcentral.
AGCGAACGUUAGCGGCGCGCCUAACACAUGCAAGUCGCACGGAGUAGCAAUACUCAGUGGCGCACGGGUGCGUAACACGUAGAUAAUCUGCCCUUCGAAGGGGGAUAACGUUCCGAAAGGAGCGCUAAUACCGCAUAACGCCAUUUGGGGUUCGCCCUGGGUGGACAAAGGCUGGGAUCGCAAGACCAGUCGUCGAAGGAGGAGUCUGCGGCCCAUCAGCUAGUUGGUAAGGUAAUGGCUUACCAAGGCAAAGACGGGUAGCUGGUCUGAGAGGAUGAUCAGCCACACUGGUACUGGAACACGGACCAGACUCCUACGGGAGGCAGCAGUGGGGAAUCUUGGUCAAUGGGCGCAAGCCUGAACCAGCGACGCCGCGUGAGUGAUGAAGGCCUUCGGGUUGUAAAGCUCUGUGGGGAGGGACGAAAGACUGAGGUCUAAUAGGCUUCAGGUUGACGGUACCUCCUUAGCAAGCACCGGCUAACUCUGUGCCAGCAGCCGCAGUAAAAC